GAUGAACGCUGGCGGCGUGCCUAAUACAUGCAAGUCGAGCGAACAGACGAGGAGCUUGCUCCUCUGACGUUAGCGGCGGACGGGUGAGUAACACGUGGAUAACCUACCUAUAAGACUGGGAUAACUUCGGGAAACCGGAGCUAAUACCGGAUAAUAUAUUGAACCGCAUGGUUCAAUAGUGAAAGACGGUUUUGCUGUCACUUAUAGAUGGAUCCGCGCCGCAUUAGCUAGUUUGUAAGGUAACGGCUUACCAAGGCAACGAUGCGUAGCCGACCUGAGAGGGUGAUCGGCCACACUGGAACUGAGACACGGUCCAGACUCCUACGGGAGGCAGCAGUAGGGAAUCUUCCGCAAUGGGCGAAAGCCUGACGGAGCAACGCCGCGUGAGUGAUGAAGGUCUUCGGAUCGUAAAACUCUGUUAUUAGGGAAGAACAAAUGUGCAAGUAACUAUGCACGUCUUGACGGUACCUAAUCAGAAAGCCACGGCUAACUACGUG
Molecule: ribosomal RNA, 497 nt
Filed under: uncultured bacterium
Lineage: Bacteria
Description: partial 16S ribosomal RNA
Rfam family: Bacterial small subunit ribosomal RNA
Source: RNAcentral